UCACCUUUUCCAAGGAAAGAAAAUCCAAGCAAAGUUACCUGUAAAACCCAGGCAGCUUUGGCUGUAUCUAUGGAGCUAUUUGCUACCUAAAAUCCGUUGCUGCCGCCUUCUCUACCACCUGUAUUUCUCCCUCUUCAUGGAUUUUCUUCUGUCUUCUGUCUCCUCCCUCUUGUUUUUCUUCUCCCUCCUUACCAACCCCUUUAAAUCCCCCACUUCCACGUACUAUUCUUUGCUUGCAAUCAAAGUUAGAGUGAUCGUUCUAUAUAAAUCAAGAGAGAAAGACGAGGGAGUGAGAACUGUUCUCUCAAUUAUUUGCUCAUCUCCCAGUCUUUCUGUCAUAUAUAUCAUCUCUUCAACUGUUGAGAGCACUUACUACUAUAGCAAGAGCUGCUUGGUCUGAAAGAAUGGCCUGCCUGGCUCCCUGAAUGCCAUCUAGGAAGCUUGUCAAAGAGUGUUGGCAACCUUUCUAUUUGGCAUGAGGGGAGUCGAGCAGGCCAAUUAACAACAGCUUACAGCUACCCUGUAUUGAACUCAUGAGGUACCAGCAAGUACAUUCCUGGCUAUAUAUAUUAUAAUUUCCUCUGCAGCUGCUAGUGCUACCUAGUACUGAAAGAGCCUAACCUCUCAGGAGAUUGUUAUUGCGACUCCUGUGCGAUUCAUGAAUAAGGUAAAAUCAAACACCAUUAAUUUCUAAUUAAGUUAUUUAAAGAGUACUAAGCUUUUUUUUUGGCCAUUGUAUGAGUAUCAGAGAAUAUCUACAUCCUAGUUUCCUUUUGAGUUAGUGAUAGCUAUAUAUCGGAUAUAAUAUUUAAUGCCAUUUUUGAACGGUACUGCAGUCAAUAAUAUUGAGUGUUGAUUGUUCUAGCUGAUCACGAUUAACUUUAAUUAUUUUUUAUGGAUGAAUCUGUGAGGUGAAGAAGAAGAAGCAUGAUUAAACAGAUGAUUGAAUAGACCCUGGAUUAAUUAGAGAAUUGAUAGGUGCAUUAUUAUGAUCACAUACUAAUUUAUAAGCACCUCUUGAAAUCAAUCAAGUUUGGCAGUGUGCGUGGCUAUGAGAGAUAUGUGUCUGGGAAGAAGCCAUGUAUUGUUGUGGGCCCAUAACCAUUCAAAUAUCUACAACCAUAAAUGAAAAGGAUCGAUGUAAACAAUCAAUCUUUGAACUCUUGUUUUUAACUGAUGAUUUGUAGCUCUCUCUUUAAUACAAGGGUCUGUUUCUGUAA
Molecule: long non-coding RNA, 1220 nt
Organism: Populus nigra (black poplar)
Lineage: Eukaryota; Viridiplantae; Streptophyta; Magnoliopsida; Malpighiales; Salicaceae
Exons: 2
Source: RefSeq, a predicted model, not a curated record